Molecule: long non-coding RNA, 2721 nt
Organism: Phoenix dactylifera (date palm)
Lineage: Eukaryota; Viridiplantae; Streptophyta; Magnoliopsida; Arecales; Arecaceae
Source: RefSeq, a predicted model, not a curated record
UAUCCUCAAAACCAUGACCACCUCUCUAUUUAAUGUGUUUGAUACACAACAGCAUUGGAACUGUAGAAUGCUCUCCAACGAAGGUGAAAAAAUUUCAGACAUUUCAAUUUCUACCAUUAUUGCUAAAUUUCCCCCUUGGAAGGAUUACCAAAAGAUUUUAAAACAUAAAGAUAAGUCUUGAGUUUGGAUCAACUGCUGCAAUACAUUCAAAUUGAAAAUGAGGCUAGAAUUGGUGAUGGACUUGAUAAUCAGAGUAAAGACAACAUAUUUCACAAUGUUGAAGGACCGGCAUAUGACAACUUUAAGUCCAUGAACAAGUUUCUAAAGAGAAAGAAAGUUUCUUGCAACAACAUAAGAAAGAGAGAGAAAGUCCAAGAAAAAUGGUAAUAAAAAGAAAGGUCCUUGUUUUGUUUGUGGCAAAAUGGGCAAUUUGGCUAGAGUUUGCUGUCAUCGCAAAGGACAGAAGAAGAAUGAGGCUAUUGCAAUGGAGGAUAGCAAGAUUAUUGCCAUGAUUACUGAAAUUCUCAUGGUCAACAUGGGAGAAGACUGGUGGAUUUAUUCUGGAAUAACCUGCCAUGUGAGUCCAUACAAAAAACUAUUUAAGACCUAUGAAGCAAUGAAUGAAGAAAAACCUAUAUUCACAGGAAAUUCCUCCACAUGUGCGAUCAUAGGAAAAGGAACUAUACAAAUUCCACUUACUUCUGGAAAAGUUCUUAUGCUCAGGGAUGUCUAUCAUAUUCCUGGUAUUAGGAAGAGCCUUAUUUCUAUGAAAUUUGAUGAUCAUGGGUUUAAAGUUGUAUAUGAUUCCCAAAAAGUGAUUAUCUCUGAAAAAGGAUCCUUUGUUGGGAAAGGUAUGCUAAAGAUAUUAUGUAUGUACUGAGUAUUAAUAAAGGUACUUCAAUUUCUGCUUAUAUCGUUGAUGAUAUGAAUCAUGUUUGGCCUUAUAGAUUAGGAUAUGUUGGUAAUAAUACUAUGCAUCAUAUGAUAUCAAAGGAUGAUGUUCCCAAAUCAAGUUCUGUUUUAACUAAACACUCUUGCGAAUAUUGUGCAUGAGCAAAAAGAGUAAAAGCCCCUUUUAAACCUAUCACAAGAACUAUUGCCCUUUUAGAACUUGUUCAUACAGAUUUAUGUGAUACUAAAAAUCAUUUGACUAGAGGUCAUAAAUGGUAUUUUGGAACAUACAUUGAUGAAGUUUCAAAAUAUACCUACGUAUAUUUGUUAAAAACUAAAGAUGAGACUUUUGAAAAAUCUAAAGUUUUCAAAUAAGUUAUUGAAAAUAGGACUUGCAAAAAAAUUAAGAGAUUAAGGUAUGAUAGAGGUGGUGAAUACCAUUCUAUUAAAUUGAUAUAUUUUUUGUGAACAACAUAGCAUUAUUAGAGAAGUAUCUUCAUCAACUCUCCACCCCAAAAUGGUGUAGCAAAAAGAAAAAAUAGAGCCUCACUAGAGGUGCUUAUUCAUUCUAAACUACCCAUGAGUUUUUUGGGUGCAGCUAAAUAUACCGCAUGUUAUAUUUCAGAUAGAAUUUUUAGAAAAAUGAAGACAAGACUCCUCAAGAAUUUUAAAUAAUCGAAAACCAAAGAUUGACUAUUUUAAAGUUUGGGGCUGCAUUGUAUGUUUUAGACUCUAUUCAAAAGAGACCAAAACUGGGUAGCAAAGCCAUUAAAUCCAUAUUUUUGGGUUAUGUCAUGCAUAGCAAAGCUUGUUAGAUUUCUUAAUUUGCACACUAGUAGUGUGUUUGAAUCUGUUCGUGCUAUUUAUUUCGAGCAACUGACAAUUAAAGAUGCUGAUAAACUUGAGAUGGAAAAAGACUUGUCAAAAGAAUUAGAAUUUAAUUCAAAAAUUAUUUCCAAAAAUUUCUAAUUAUAUUGGACAUUGACUCAAAUAAGAAAGAUUUACAUGAAAAUGAGAAAGAACUUGAGAGUUCAAGUGAAAAAAAAUUUUAAUGAUAAUGAAAAGAAACCUGAACCUUUUAAGAUAAGAAGACUUGAACUAGAGUUAAGAAGGAGCAAAAGACAGAGAACUGAAAAAGAUUUGGGACUAGAUAUAUUCAGUUACUUAAUAGAAAAGAUUCCCAAAACUUUUGAAAAGGCUGUCUUUGCCCAAUGCAAAUCUUCGGAAGAAGGCUAUGGAGGAUGAGAUCAAAUGCAUAAAUGAUAAUAAAACAUGGACUUUGACAGAUCAUCAUCCUAAUACAAAACCUAUUAGCUAAAAAUGGAUAUCAACGAAGAAGCUAAAACUUGAUGGCAGCAUUGACAGGUACAAAGCUAGGUUAGUUGUUAAAGGAUAUAGCUAAAAAGAAAAUAUUGAUUAUUUUGAAACUUUCUCUCCUGUUACUAAAUUUACUUCCAUUAGAACUAUGUUUGUUGUUGCUUCUACAUAUAAUCUUGUUAUUCAUCAAAUGGAUGUCAAAACUACCUUUUCAAAUGGUGAUUUAGGUGAAGAGUUUUAUAUUUACCAACUUGAGGGUUAUAUAGUUAAAGGCCAAGAAGACAAAGUUUGCAGGUUGAACAAAUCUUUGCAUGGUCUUAAAUAAGCCCCAGCCAAUGGCAUAAAAAGUUUAAAAAUAAAUAAAUAAACAAUUUGGUUUUAAGAGUAGUAAGGUUGAAAAUUGAGUGUUUGUUAAAUGCACUAAUGAUUAUAAAGUUUUGAUUACUUUUUAUGUUGAUAAUCUGCUUAUUUUUAGUUCCAAUAUGGAAUGUGUUAGUGAAACAAAAAAAAAAA